RNAcentral lists this ribosomal RNA (253 nucleotides) under uncultured prokaryote. RNAcentral's name for it is "partial 16S ribosomal RNA". It matches the Rfam family "Bacterial small subunit ribosomal RNA", at positions 525 to 777 of the family's 1533-position model. The record is from RNAcentral.
ACAGAGGGUGCAAACGUUGUUCGGAAUCACUGGGCGUAAAGCGCGUGUAGGCGGCAGUGCAAGUCGGAUGUGAAAUCCCGCGGCUCAACCGUGGAAGUGCACCCGAAACUGCACAGCUCGAGUGUCGGAGAGGAAGGUGGAAUGCUUGGUGUAGAGGUGAAAUUCGUAGAUAUCAAGCGGAACACCGGUGGCGAAGGCGGCCUUCUGGACGACGACUGACGCUGAGACGCGAAAGCGUGGGUAGCAAACAGGA